GGAUGUGAGGGCAAUUUGGCUGCAACAUCUGUCACCCCAUUGACCGCCAGGAUUGAUUCGGCUGAUCUGGCUGGCUAGGCGGGUGCCCCUUCCUGCCUCAACACUCUAUGUGCGUCCCUCCCAAAGCUGCAUGCUUGGUUGAAAAGGACAACUACCCCGAUAGAGAAGGAAAUUCCUCAGUCAAGGGUAUACGAGCCCCUGUGCUCCGCUGCUGGAACAUCCAAACAACCUCUCAAGAAGUAGCAAAGGUUCAUUUCCACUCAUUCUGCAAACACUUACUUACAAAGCCUUAAGU
Molecule: small nuclear RNA, 295 nt
Filed under: Chinchilla lanigera (long-tailed chinchilla)
Lineage: Eukaryota; Metazoa; Chordata; Mammalia; Rodentia; Chinchillidae
Description: 7SK RNA (ENSCLAG00000022108.1)
Rfam family: 7SK RNA
About the family: 7SK was discovered as an abundant small nuclear RNA in the mid-70s but a possible function has only recently been suggested. Two independent studies have found that 7SK RNA binds the CDK9/cyclin T complex (known as elongation factor P-TEFb).
Source: Rfam by way of RNAcentral